This 388-nucleotide ribosomal RNA is filed under the name uncultured bacterium. RNAcentral describes it as "bacterial SSU rRNA". It matches the Rfam family "Bacterial small subunit ribosomal RNA", at positions 28 to 417 of the family's 1533-position model. The record is from RNAcentral.
AUUGAACGCUGGCGGCAUGCUUUACACAUGCAAGUCGAACGGCAGCGGGGGCUUCGGCCUGCCGGCGAGUGGCGAACGGGUGAGUAAUGCAUCGGAACGUGCCCAUGUCGUGGGGGAUAACGUAGCGAAAGCUACGCUAACACCGCAUACGCCCUGAGGGGGAAAGCGGGGGAUUCUUCGGAACCUCGCGCGAUUGGAGCGGCCGAUGUCGGAUUAGCUAGUAGGUGAGGUAAAGGCUCACCUAGGCGACGAUCCGUAGCGGGUCUGAGAGGAUGAUCCGCCACACUGGGACUGAGACACGGCCCAGACUCCUACGGAGGCAGCAGUGGGAAUUUUGGACAAUGGGCGCAAGCCUGAUCCAGCCAUGCCGCGUGAGUGAAGAAGGCCU